Carlito syrichta (Philippine tarsier) is the source of this 486-nucleotide RNA transcript. It is a transcript of the gene named thymosin beta-10 pseudogene, with no coding region annotated. NCBI's taxonomy places the organism in Eukaryota, Metazoa, Chordata, Mammalia, Primates, Tarsiidae. The record is from RefSeq and is a predicted model, not a curated record. The transcript has a single exon.
CCCGGUCUCUUGCUGCAGCGUCGCGAGUGGGAGCACCAGGAGCCCGGGCUCGGAGCGGGACGCUUGGAUCGUUUUGAGAAAAUGGCAGACAAGCCGGACAUGGGGGAAAUCGCCAGCUUCGAUAAGGCCAAGCUGAAGAAGACGGAGACGCAGGAGAAGAACACCCUGCCCACCAAAGAGACCAUCGAGCAGGAGAAAUGGAGUGAAAUUUCCUAAGCCUGGAGGACCCCCCCCCCGCCCCCAUCAUCUCCGAGACCCCAGUCGUGAUGUGGAGGGAGGGCCACCCGCGAGAUGGACACGAGCCACAAGCUGCACUGUGAACCCAGGCACUCCGCGCCGAUGCCACCGGCCCGUGGGUCUCCGAGGGGACCCCCCUCCCCCCAUCGGACUGCCAAAUUCUCUGGUCUGCCCUGGGAUGUUAUAGAAAAUUAUUUGUAUGAUUGUUGGAAAUAAAACACCUCGUGGCAAAAAAAAAAAAAAAAAAAA